This 57-nucleotide transfer RNA is filed under the name Marmota marmota marmota (Alpine marmot). It matches the Rfam family "tRNA", at positions 8 to 63 of the family's 71-position model. From Rfam's summary of the family: Transfer RNA (tRNA) molecules are approximately 80 nucleotides in length. Their secondary structure includes four short double-helical elements and three loops (D, anti-codon, and T loops). Further hydrogen bonds mediate the characteristic L-shaped molecular structure. tRNAs have two regions of fundamental functional importance: the anti-codon, which is responsible for specific mRNA codon recognition, and the 3' end, to which the tRNAs corresponding amino acid is attached (by aminoacyl-tRNA synthetases). tRNAs cope with the degeneracy of the genetic code in two manners: having more than one tRNA (with a specific anti-codon) for a particular amino acid; and 'wobble' base-pairing, i.e. permitting non-standard base-pairing at the 3rd anti-codon position. RNAcentral also lists the same sequence under 2 other names. The record is from Rfam by way of RNAcentral. Lineage: Eukaryota; Metazoa; Chordata; Mammalia; Rodentia; Sciuridae.
UAGCUCAUUGGUAAAGUACUUGCCUGGCAAGCAUGAAGUCUUGGGUUUGAUUCCCAG